UAAUCUAACACUUUUCUGCUACACCUAAGGCCCACUUCUUUUGGUUCUGCGCUCAAAUGAUGCAGAGGGAUGGAGAGGCAGAGGCCAUGCCCAGAGUGACAUUUUCACUAGUUUAUAGCACACACCUACCGUAUGGAAGACCUCUGUGAGGUCCUGCUAAGGACGUCAUUAGAAGGUUGAAGACACAGUUCCGAGAGCCCUUCCAUCUCCCUCCUUCCCACCUCCGCAGAGUGCUGUACCAUUUCUCCUGCCCCGAGUGCCCAUCCUCCUAGUCUACCCAUCCUUAAGCCCCAACCCUUAAAGUUGAAACAGCGCCAGCCAGAUCUGAUUCCUCUCCCCUCUGAAUGCCCAGCAUAUUCAGUCUGCACCUUUCUCGCGGCACAGCCUGUGGCCUCAUAUUCUAGUGAUCUGUUUACUAAUCUUGUUCUUCUAACCAGAUUAAAAAGUCCUUGAGGUCCUUGAGGCAGAAACAAAGUCUGCCUCUUCGAGGCCUCCCCCCAUCGCUUGAGCUCAUCCCCCACAGGCCAAGCUUGGCACUGGAGUUGAUGUUCAGUAAAUGUUGGGUGUAUUGAAAUGAUUUCCUGCCCUUGGGCAGAUUGCAGACCAGUGGAAGAGACAAACACAGAGCUCGUGAAGUUAAAUAAUAACCCAAGGCAGCAGGUGGGCUCCCAGCUCUCCAAAAGGCUGGUACAGUUUGUUACGCUGGGGCCGGAAUGUACCGUGUGUUUCAUAUGGCCUCUGUCCAGUCCAACACCGGCUGCUUUAUAUUUAUACUUCCUUCUUCAGCUGUGGCAUCCUGCUGGCAGUCAGUCACCCCUGCUCUCAUCUGCCCACCUCCCACCUGGGCCCUGCACCCCACCGUAAGUCAGUCCUUGGGUUCUAAACUCUUGUGAGAGGGUGGAGUGGGGUGCAGAGAACACCCUGGAGGACAGAAGUCGGACUCCAAAAGGGUAAAAGCCCCAGUCCCUGUUCUCUCUCCUAUCACCCAGCCCUGCAACAGCCUCCGAGGUCAUGGACCCUCCAGUUUGGGUCUCAUGGUUCUCUGUGGCCUUGAGGUUGAUCCUCCAUUCCUUGCCCCUCUUGUUUACCCAAGCACUUCAGAAAUAUUCUUGAGCCUGGCUGGACAAGUGAGCAACAGGCUCUAUUUAUGUUGCCUCCCCAAAAGCUUGGCAGACCUCUUAAUCCAUGAUCCUCCCCCAUCAGUC
Molecule: long non-coding RNA, 1205 nt
Organism: Lutra lutra (Eurasian river otter)
Lineage: Eukaryota; Metazoa; Chordata; Mammalia; Carnivora; Mustelidae
Exons: 3
Source: RefSeq, a predicted model, not a curated record